Molecule: ribosomal RNA, 249 nt
Filed under: uncultured Ruminococcus sp.
Lineage: Bacteria; Bacillati; Bacillota; Clostridia; Eubacteriales; Oscillospiraceae
Description: partial 16S ribosomal RNA
Rfam family: Bacterial small subunit ribosomal RNA
Source: RNAcentral
UCUUAGUGGCGGACGGGUGAGUAACACGUGAGCAACCUGCCUCUGAGAGAGGGAUAGCUUCUGGAAACGGAUGGUAAUACCUCAUAACAUAGCGGUACCGCAUGAUACUGCUAUCAAAGAUUUAUCGCUCAGAGAUGGGCUCGCGUCUGAUUAGCUAGAUGGUGAGGUAACGGCUCACCAUGGCGACGAUCAGUAGCCGGACUGAGAGGUUGAACGGCCACAUUGGGACUGAGACACGGCCCAGACUCC